RNAcentral lists this long non-coding RNA (771 nucleotides) under Mytilus galloprovincialis (Mediterranean mussel). The record is from RNAcentral. Lineage: Eukaryota; Metazoa; Mollusca; Bivalvia; Mytilida; Mytilidae.
AUUGAACAUGGAAAAUGAUAGUGCGAGUGGGGCAUCCGUGUACUUUGGACACAUUCUUGUUUUAGUUCAUGUUAAUUAAGUUUAUAACAGUUUAUUAUUAUUACUAGUUUACUUAAAGGCACACAUUGUAUGCAACAAGAGCAACACAAUAUAGUAUACAAAAUGAUAAAUUGGUCAAUAAAUAUGACAAGAGAAGAAAAAACACAACCCUUUUAUCACUAGGGGUGGGAAAGAGGUUUUAAGUAUUUGUGAAAUAUGGUCAGGAUAGUACUAGCAUAGGACAAAAAAUUUCCAGAUAGAUAUAGUAUUAGUAUAGUGUUUAUGUACUUUGCAUUGAAGCUAAUAUUGACCUGGUUUUACGAAUCAGGUUUGUCAGUUCUGUUCCGCUUACACUUUUCCAUUGUUUUGAUGUCAGACUAUUUCAUGGGCAAAAACUCAAUCAAUACUUAUAAGUGUCAUAUUUUAUGCUUCAGUCAGAAAUGAGAAUUAUAUUUAUUGUUGCUUUAAGGGUAUAAUAUGUGUUAGGAUUAUGUUUUCUAUUAAAGAUUUGGGAGUGAUGUUUAAUGAGUAUUUCUGAUGGUAUAUAUGCUACGUAUAAAUUAAAUUUUUAGUUGCCUUUUCAAUAAAGCAAUCAUUUACUAUUAUGAAGUUUUUGUGUUUGUUGCCAAUCUCAAAUGGUUUUAACAGCAAAAGCAGAACAGUAGUAAAAAAAAACAAAUUGACCACAGCAAGUAUUCUAGUAAUUAAAGUAAUAAGUAAAAAGCUGCUUUG